RNAcentral lists this ribosomal RNA (492 nucleotides) under uncultured bacterium. RNAcentral's name for it is "partial 16S ribosomal RNA". It matches the Rfam family "Bacterial small subunit ribosomal RNA", at positions 29 to 507 of the family's 1533-position model. The record is from RNAcentral.
AGUGAACGCUGGCGGUAGGCCUAACACAUGCAAGUCGAACGGCAGCACAGUAAUAGCUUGCUCUUACGUGUUGCGAGUGUCGGACGGGUGAUGUAUACCUCGGAAUCUACUUUUUCUUGGGGGUUAACGUAGGGUAACUUACGCUAAUACCUCAUACUACCUACUUGUUAAAUCAUUGGUUCUUCGGACCUUUCGCGUUUUAUUGAGCCGAUUUCGGAUUAGCUAGUUUGCGGGGUAAAGGCCCACCAAGGCGACGAUCCGUAGCUGGUCUGAGAGGAUGAUCAGCCACACUGGAACUGAGACACGGUACAGAGUACUACGGGAGGCAGCAGUGGGGAAUAUUGGACAAUGGGCGCAAGCAUGAUCCAGCAAUACCGCGUGGGUGAAGAAGGCCUUCGGGUUGUAAAGCCCUUUUGUUGGGAAAGAAAAGCAGCAGGCUAAUACCCCGAUGUUAUGACGGUACCCAAAGAAUAAGCACCGGCUAACUUCGUG